GGAUUACAGGCGUGAGACAGCAUGCCCAGCCCCUAGGAUUGCUUUCGUCAAGUUUGAUUCUUCACCUUUAUCUGAUUCUUGAUUUGUACACAUAUAGCUUUUUCACUUUGUAUUCAUAGAAACAAAAGACUCAGAACCGUGUUGCCAUUUGGUGCCAUGUGACCUAGAUUUGGAUGAGGUAUUGGUCAGCAAAGGCCAUGUUAUACUGCAGUAACAAACAUCCUCAUGCUCAUAAUGGCUUAAUAUAAGAAAAGUUUAUUUUUCCUCUUGCUAUGUGUCCAAUGUAGAUUAAAAGAGCCUUUCUUAAUCGUCCUCACUAGUGGUUAUCUGCUGAUGGAGAUUCCAACUUGGGAUUCCAUGACUGUCAAUGUAGAGAGAAAGGGGGAAUGAAUCAAGCACAGUUACUUAAAUGCUUCUUCUGGAAGAGACAUUCAUUACUCUUACUCAUGUUUAAGCCAAGUCAUGUGGCCUUUUUUUACUUUAGGGAGUGGGGAAGUGAGCCCUCCCACACCCCUAGAGAAGGAGAGCCAGGGUUUUAUAAACAGCUCUAAUAACUAGCCCAGAUGGUCUCCCUGAAGUCAGGUAGGGUCCUUGCUUCUCCUGGACCAAUAAUAAAAUAGGAUCCAGGCUGAUUCAUUUUUCUCUUAGGUGAACUAACUUCUUUUCUUGGAAAGAAACGAUGUCAUAUCUUAUUGUGCAGCUUAGAAGGUUAACAUGUACAAGAAAUAUCUGUGCUUUGAAAAAGAUAACACAAAAUUUUAUUCUUUAAAAUGAUAUGUACUUGGAGAUAAUACCCUUAAAAAUAAGCAAUGUCCUUUUUUAGUUAUUUCUUGCUUCUAAUGUUACCUGGAAAAAGUCUUACAUUGCUCAUGCUCUUGUUAGGAGUUAUUAACUUUAUUUUUAACCUAUAAUCCAUAAUUAUCACUGAGCUCCAGGAAGUUGAAAUUUUGUUCAUAUUGUAGAUGUGAAAUUUGGCUUUCCAAGGUGAACUGAACCUUCAAAUAUGUAAAAUAUAUUUUAAGAAAUUGCAUGCAUAUGUUUAAAUUUCAGCCAAAUAAAAGUCCUCUUGUGAUUUUCUAAAACAUUUAUCAUAUUUUCUACCAAAUAGGAUCGACAGAACUUGACUUAGAAAGCUGGCACACAGCUUCACGGAAGCAGCUUCUAGAGGAAUGCUAUCCAACAUAACUUUCUGUGAUGACAGAAAUGUACUACAGCUGCCUUGUCCAAUAAGGAGCCAUGGAAGUCAAAUGCUGAGGAUGGUGGCAUCAUAGGAUGAAUGGAGCUGGGUUCUUGAAACACUGCCUGGAGGAAAGACAGCAAAAAUGCCUCAUGAAUCCAACUGGACUGUUAGGAUGCUCACCCUUGGAGACCAGCAACAAUGUGUGCAGAAACCCAGGCCAUGUGGAGAGGCCCCACAUACGUGUCCAACUGAGGUCCCAGCUGACAGCUGGCAUUGACAUAAUGUUCACUCUGGGGGAAGCCAGCUGCCACGCUGUAAGGACACUCGGGCAGUCCUAUGAAGAGGCCCGUGUGGUGAGAAAGAGAGGCCUCCAGCCAACAGCCAUAGAUGGGGUCUUGCUAUGUUUCCCAGUUGGAGUGCAGUGAUUAUUCACAGACAUGAUCCCACUACUGAUCAGCAUGGGAGUUUUCACCUGCUCCAUUUCCCACCUGGGAGGUCAUCAUAUUGAUGGCGAGCUAAGUGUGGACACCUGAUCAGCAUAGCACAGUACAGCCCAGAACCCCUGGGCUCCAGUGAUCCUCUUACUUCAGCCUCUUGAGUAGCUGGAACUACAGGCCUGCACCACUGCACCCGGCUAGUUUGUUUUUGUUAGAGUUUUGUCUCUAGGAUUUUCCUCAGCUGAGUAUGUGAAGGCUAACUUCUCCUUGUGAAUCUGCAAAUAUCCUUAUUUUACCCUUUAUUUUACCAUGUAUCAUUUACAGGUAAAUGAUAUCUUAGCUGUGUAUUGAAUUUCUGUUUUUUGUUUUUUCUUCAGUACUCUAUAAAUAUUACUCCAGUAUCUUCUAGCUUCUCCCAUUUUCUCCUAGUGAAUGGUUAUUCUGCUCUUAUCUAGCAGGUGAUAAAUCUGUCAACAGAUAGUUUUUCCUUUUUGUUUUAUGUGUAAGUUGUUAUUUCUUCCUUAAAGUUCAUAAUCUUUUCCCAUUUAUUCUCUAAAUUUUAGACUAUAACCAGGAUGUGUUUAGGUUGAUAUCUUUGCUUAUCUAUUCUGCCUGGAAAUCAGGAACCUCUUCCAAUAUUCAGACUUGUGUUUUCAGCUCAGAAUAAUUAUUUUAUCAUUUGUUUGAUUAUUCCUUUAGUUGCACUGGAUCUUAGUUAAAAUGCCCAUUCUGAUUCAAAGUAUCUGGAAGGCAAGUAUUUGUCAACUAAGGGAAAGGUGACCAUGCAUCAUUGGUUUUGCUGAGACUACCUGGUUUACACCUUCAGGCUUUAUACUUAGAAAAUAUUGCGAUCAUCUUCUGGUCAUGAAGUUACAAACUUCAGGACAAAGGCUAACCAGCUAAGACUAGCAGAGCAAAUUCCAAGAACUUGGGGCUUUAAUUAACUUGAAUUGAUUUGGACUUGCCCUACCUUUAACUUCACACUGAGAUAAAAAUUCCCCACAUUUUCAAGCCAUUUUUGAGAUGAGUCUCUUAUGGUUGAAAGCAUCCUAAUUUAUACAACAUCCUUUUGGUACCUAACUAAAUAUUCACCAAUAUUUGGCACAUUUGUUAAAUCUUUUGGUGUGUGCCUCUUCUAUGUAAUGUAAAUAUGGUCUGAAUAUCCAUUCAGAAAUUAUAGUUGAUUUGCAAAAAUAACUACUAUAUCACCUAUAUUAAUUGAUAGUUAUUCCUUCCCAACCUUCUUUCACUCUUCCAUAUAUAUACAGAGUAAAUCUACAUCAUUAUGUUGAUUAAACAAAAUAGCAGUGAAAUCAGGAUGUUACUGCUCAUUGUGCAUUUAUUUCAAUUAUGGAAAAAGCCAACACUUUACUCCCUUAUUUAACACUUCUGUAGAAAAGCAGUUGAAAUAACCUAGUGUCAUUCUAAAAUGAUUUGUAUACUAUGUAGACCAGAAUCUAGGGCUAUACCUAAAAAUACAUAAAUGAAAUUAUUCUAGAAGUUAAAUCUUCAUGAAAAAACAAAUUAAAUGGUUUACUAACCUCAAGCUGAUUAAAUGUUUUUAUUAAAUGCAGCCUCAGCCAGCACCUCUUUUCAUGGCUGCAAUAAUUAAGUAUAAUAAAUAUUCAAAUCAGUAAUUGAAUUUGUUAAAAAAAACAUGCUCAGCUCAGUGAAGACUUUCUAAUAAAUAGAAUUCAGGUACCAUAUUUUCAUACUUCAUGACACUUGCCUCAUCUUAGUUUGAUGACUGCCGUUUCUUGCACUGUAACAAGAUUUUAUUUUUAUUUUGUUUUACGCUAUUCAAACAAAUACAUUCAAAGUCAUAGGCUACACCUAUGUAUAACCAUAUUCUGAGAGUUGGCUUAUGUGUUUGUUUAUUUUCUCACAAUUAAAGAUAGGUCAGAUGUUGCCAAAUUAGUAAAUAACUAAACUUGAGAUGGGAAAUACUCUAGAGACACAAUCUGCUUAGUUUUGCAUAGUUUUGCAUAGUUUUAGUCACUUUUCCCGUUACUCUGUCCAGCUUUCCAGUAAUACUCAUAACAUUGCCUUGAUUUCAUAUGACCACGCAGUAAAGUGAUUACUGCACUUAGAAUUUUGUUGCUUUUGCUGUGCUAACAACUUAAAAGUUUAAAAUAACUGAUGUUCAAAACAGUGAAGAUUUCCUUUUAUAAACAAGUUGGAAAGGAAAGUUUUUAUGUUAUUAUCCUCAAGUAUUCUAACUAAUAUAAAAUGUCUUUCAGUCUUUUAGGCAAACCAUUUAGACAAAAAGUACAAAUAAUAAAUUUACAUUGUGUUAAGCUGCGAUCAUAUUUCUUUCUCUUGAUUUACUUUUGAAAUUUUCCUUAUGCACCUGGUGAUACUGAAAGAUGAGUCAAAUAGUGUAAUACAAUAGGGCAAUAUGAACUUCUGUUGUAGUUUCCAUUAGUUGCAUCAAUUCAAAUUGCACCUGGAAAAGAUCUAAGCACGACAUAAAGCCAAGACAGCACAUAAGGGUGAUGGCAAACAAUAAUAAUAUUUACAUCUUUUUUUUUUUUUUUUUUGGAGACAGAAUCUCACUCUGUCGGCCAGGCUGGAGUGCAGUGGCGUGAUCUCGGCUCACUGCAACCUCCGCCUCCUGGGUUCAAGCGAUUCUCCUGCCUCAGCCUCCUGAGUAGCUGGGACUACAGGGUCCUGCCACGAUGCCCAGCUAAUUUUGGUAUUUUUAGUAGAGACGGGGUUUCACCAUAUUGGCCAGGAUGGUCUCAAACUCCUGACCUUGUGAUCCACCCAAUCUUCAUUGCAUCAUUUAACUUUCAUUGGUAUCACAGUAAUUCACUAACAUUCAUUCCUUACAGGCAGUUAUGAAUAAUUGAAAAAUUUUUAACAUCAUCUCAUGGGCAAAAGAAUAUUUAUUCAUUGGCUUAGCUUAACAAAUCAUUAUUAAACACCUACUGUGUGCCAGGCACUGUUCUAGACACUGGAGUUACAGCAGUGAACAAAAUAAACACGCUCUCCAGUCUGGUGGAGUUCACAUACUGGUGCGGGGAGAGAGAUGCAUACAAACAAAAAUGCAUAUUUAAUACUUCACCAAUUGAUAGGUGCUAUGAAGAAAAAUAAACCAUAGUAAGGAUGACAUAGAGUGCUGGAUGGAGGUUUUAGUACAUAUACGUUAGCCAGAGAAGGCAUCUCUGAGAAGUUGCCAUUUGAGAAAAAGAGGGAGUAGGCUCAGUGGAUUCUGAGGGAAGAAUAAGUUUGAGAUUCUGAGUCAUUCAUGUCCUUGGCAGAUCAAUAAAGAGGAAGCAGAUGCUGUGGCCGGAACUCAGUGUGCAUGUUGGGGCAGUGGUAGGAGGCUAUGGUUGUAAGACAGGGCUACCUCCCAUAGGGUCUUGAAGACCAUAGUAAAGACUGUGGCAUCUCCUCUCCAGUAGUUUGAGCAGAGGAAUGGUAGCAUUCUACUUAGGAUUUAAAAGGUUUGCUCUAGCUGAUUUGUGGAGAAUAGGUUUGUAAGGCAGCAUAGUGAAUGAAAGGAGAAAAGUUAGGCGAUUGCAAACAUCCAGGUGAGAGUUGAUAUCAGACGGUGAUGGUGUCACAGAUGCGUUUCAUGCGAUGGGCUCAAUUAAUGGCCUCCAUGUUUCACCCUUCUCUUUCUUGGGACUGGCUUGCCUGCUGGAAGGUGAGGAAACAGCCUGUCAUCCCAGCUGAGGCCAUCCUAGAUCAGCCAACUGUCAGCUGCUUGUGUGUCAGUGAACCCCAGCCAAGACCGGAAGACCUGCCCAGCUGAGCUCAGCCAAGAUCAGCAAAACCUCUCAGCUUAUAACCUUAUAAACUUACCAAUUUAGGUGUGGUUGUGACACAGAAUUAUUGUAUUAUUGUAUGCAUGGUGAGUAUUGUAUAUUACACAUGGGAAUCAUAGAAACAGUGAAAAGCCAGUAAUUUCUGAGUAUAUAUUAAAGUUAGGGCAAAUUGUGUGAGGUGGAGAAGCCACAUACUCCAAAUUUCUGGCCUGAGACAUUGGAAGAAUGAAUAUGGAUGAUGGAGGUGGAUAUUGAAUCUGAAAUGAAUUUUUCAUUUUGUGAAAUUUUGUGAAGUUUCAUUUUGUGUUGAAUAUCUUG
This 5708-nucleotide long non-coding RNA is filed under the name Homo sapiens (human). Its description in RNAcentral is "HSALNT0264234". Lineage: Eukaryota; Metazoa; Chordata; Mammalia; Primates; Hominidae. The record is from RNAcentral.